RNAcentral lists this ribosomal RNA (253 nucleotides) under uncultured bacterium. RNAcentral's name for it is "partial 16S ribosomal RNA". It matches the Rfam family "Bacterial small subunit ribosomal RNA", at positions 524 to 776 of the family's 1533-position model. The record is from RNAcentral.
UACGGAGGGUGCAAACGUUGCUCGGAAUCAUUGGGCGUAAAGCGCACGUAGGCGGCCUAAUAAGUCGGGUGUGAAAGCCCUGGGCUCAACCCAGGAAGUGCAUUCGAAACUGCUAGGCUUGAAUAUGGAAGAGGGUCGCGGAAUUCCCGGUGUAGAGGUGAAAUUCGUAGAUAUCGGGAGGAACACCAGUGGCGAAAGCGGCGACCUGGGCCAAUAUUGACGCUGAGGUGCGAAAGCGUGGGGAGCAAACAGG